RNAcentral lists this non-coding RNA (180 nucleotides) under Actinobacteria bacterium OV320. RNAcentral describes it as "Bacterial small subunit ribosomal RNA". It matches the Rfam family "Bacterial small subunit ribosomal RNA", at positions 103 to 347 of the family's 1533-position model. Lineage: Bacteria; Bacillati; Actinomycetota; Actinomycetes. The record is from Rfam by way of RNAcentral.
CAGCGCAGUAACACGAGAGGAACCGUUCCCGUGGGGCAUCCCAUGGGAGGCACGAAUAAAGGUCUCUCGGCCUAACAGCUUGUUGGUAUGGGUAACGGCCUACCAAGGCGACGACGGGUACCGAACCUGAGAGGGUGAUCGGGCGCAAGCUGUAAGACUCGGGAUGAAUGCCUUCGGGUU